GAUAUUUCUCAGAACAUAGACAGAGAAACAAUUUCAAUACAGGUAAAAAGGUUUCAGUGAGCCUGUUCUCUCAGGCUGUGGGAGAUCGUGGGCUUAGGAUUUAUCUUCACACAGCAAAAUUUGGUCCUUGGGAACAGAGGGUAAAAGAGGAGCUUCUAUUGCUGGUGUUCCACUACUGAGGCAUAUUGAAUAAGACCCUACACUUUGAUCUUCAGAAAAACUCGAUUCUUGUUUAAGCGAAAGCUGAAGUGGUCCUGGGAGUAAAGAAGAGAUAUGAGGGACAUCCAUACAUUCAUCCAACCAGAACCUGGAAAAAAAAGAAAAACAGGAAAAAACCUUUGAUCCAGUUAUCCAGUCCUAAAAAAAAGUAGUCCACCUGCUGUAUUACGGGUACUUCAUCAGAAAAUUACUUCAACGCUUUUGAAAUGAAGCUUGUACUUAUGAACUGCUCAAGUUUGGAAGCAGGUAACCCAAAUAUAUUAGUCCUAUUUCUACUUAAUUUCUUCUAGAAAAAAAAAUAUUUAAGAGUUCCACAAGGGAAAAUGGGUCAUCAGAAGAUCCUCAACAGAUUCUAGGCAGGACAAAUUCUCUUAUUUAGCACUGAAUUUUGUCUGCAAGGGUGCCACCCUGGGGUUUGAUUCCUGUAAAUAUGUGAAACAUGUUCAUACUGUUCUUUUUCAAAACCAUAAUAGCUUUAUUGGUUUAACUGGAUGGUUCAUCUAGUUCCGUAUUCUGUCCCCCAAAACAACCAUAAGCAAACGCUUAAUGGGGACUAAGGUUAGGGAAAGAAAACUUAAUGCUCAUCCAGUAUUUGUUUCUUUUCAGGGGAUUUCUUUGAACUGUUCUGAUUUGUCUGUUUAAGAACAUGCCACAGACUUUUCUUCCAGCUACCUGAAUUCUCAUCAUCUUCUUCUACCCACAAUGUUUCUACACAUUCUACUGGGUCCAUAUACACAUACAUUGGCCCAUAUACAACAGAGGAAUGGCACAAGGUUCUUUUCAGUAAAAAUUUUAUCCUUUCUUCUCUGCAAAAUUUAUUGAUAGCAUUCAUCUGCCCUUUGCCCCAAUAAAGUAUAUACUCUAGAUAAAAAA
Pezoporus flaviventris is the source of this 1092-nucleotide long non-coding RNA. RefSeq lists it as uncharacterized. The record is from RefSeq and is a predicted model, not a curated record. NCBI's taxonomy places the organism in Eukaryota, Metazoa, Chordata, Aves, Psittaciformes, Psittacidae. The transcript has 2 exons.